Molecule: ribosomal RNA, 253 nt
Filed under: uncultured bacterium
Lineage: Bacteria
Description: partial 16S ribosomal RNA
Rfam family: Bacterial small subunit ribosomal RNA
Source: RNAcentral
UACGUAGGGUGCAAGCGUUUAAUCGGAAUUACUGGGCGUAAAGCGUGCGCAGGCGGUUUUGUAAGUCAGAUGUGAAAUCCCCGGGCUUAACCUGGGAACUGCGUUUGAAACUACAAGGCUAGAGUGUGGCAGAGGGGGGUGGAAUUCCACGUGUAGCAGUGAAAUGCGUAGAGAUGUGGAGGAACACCGAUGGCGAAGGCAGCCCCCUGGGUUAACACUGACGCUCAGGCACGAAAGCGUGGGAGCAAACAGG